AUUGAACGCUGGCGGCAUGCCUUACACAUGCAAGUCGAACGGUAGAGGAGCAAUCCUCGAGAGUGGCGAACGGGUGAGUAAUGCAUCGGAACGUGCCCAGUAAUGGGGGAUAGCCCGGCGAAAGCCGGAUUAAUACCGCAUACGACCUACGGGUGAAAGAGGGGGAUCGCAAGACCUCUCGUUAUUGGAGCGGCCGAUGUCAGAUUAGGUAGUUGGUGGGGUAAAGGCCUACCAAGCCAACGAUCUGUAGCUGGUCUGAGAGGACGACCAGCCACACUGGGACUGAGACACGGCCCAGACUCCUACGGGAGGCAGCAGUGGGGAAUUUUGGACAAUGGGCGCAAGCCUGAUCCAGCCAUGCCGCGUGCGGGAAGAAGGCCUUCGGGUGUAAACCGCUUUUGUCAGGAAGAAAUCUUCUGGUUAAUUACCGUCGGGAGGAGUGACGGUACCUGAAGAAUAAGCACCGGCUAACUACGUGCCAGCAGCCGCGGUAAGGAUAGUACA
This 504-nucleotide ribosomal RNA is filed under the name uncultured bacterium. RNAcentral's name for it is "bacterial SSU rRNA". It matches the Rfam family "Bacterial small subunit ribosomal RNA", at positions 30 to 536 of the family's 1533-position model. The record is from RNAcentral.